GGGCCUGUAGCUCAGUUGGUUAGAGCGCACCCCUGAUAAGGGUGAGGUCAGAGGUUCGAAUCCUCUCAGGCCCACCA
This 77-nucleotide transfer RNA is filed under the name Erythrobacter sp. Its description in RNAcentral is "tRNA-Ile". It matches the Rfam family "tRNA". Rfam says of the family: Transfer RNA (tRNA) molecules are approximately 80 nucleotides in length. Their secondary structure includes four short double-helical elements and three loops (D, anti-codon, and T loops). Further hydrogen bonds mediate the characteristic L-shaped molecular structure. tRNAs have two regions of fundamental functional importance: the anti-codon, which is responsible for specific mRNA codon recognition, and the 3' end, to which the tRNAs corresponding amino acid is attached (by aminoacyl-tRNA synthetases). tRNAs cope with the degeneracy of the genetic code in two manners: having more than one tRNA (with a specific anti-codon) for a particular amino acid; and 'wobble' base-pairing, i.e. permitting non-standard base-pairing at the 3rd anti-codon position. Lineage: Bacteria; Pseudomonadati; Pseudomonadota; Alphaproteobacteria; Sphingomonadales; Erythrobacteraceae. The record is from RNAcentral. RNAcentral also lists the same sequence under 15 other names.